UUGAAAGGGAAACGAUUGAAGUCAGUCGUACUAACGGGAAAUCAGCUCUUUGAGUGCGGACUUGUGGGCGUGCGUGAGCUUCGGUCUCGCUGUUUGCAACGUUUGUGCUUUUUGGGUGUACUUUUUCGUAUGGUAGGCCAACAUCAGUUUCGAACACCAUAAAAUAACCGGCGGAAUGUAGCUUCGAUCUCGUAUUGAAGUGUUAUAGCCUCUGGUAGAUGUGAUGAUCGGGACUGAGGAUUGCAACGAAUACCCUUCGGGCUAUCCGUCUGACCUCUGAAGGUUACUUAGGUGCCGAAAGCUUGCUUACGGUUGUUUAAGUUGACAGUCAAAAGGCUAGAACGUGAUUAAAUUCGUUAAGGAUGUUGACGUA
RNAcentral lists this ribosomal RNA (373 nucleotides) under uncultured Glomeromycotina. RNAcentral's name for it is "LSU rRNA". The record is from RNAcentral. Lineage: Eukaryota; Fungi; Glomeromycota.